AGCAUAUCAAUAAGCGGAGGAAAAGAAACCAACAGGGAUUGCCCUAGUAACGGCGAGUGAAGCGGCAACAGCUCAAAUUUGAAAUCUGGCUCUCUUUGGGGGUCCGAGUUGUAAUUUGCAGAGGAUGCUUUGGCAUUGGCGGCGGUCUAAGUUCCUUGGAACAGGACAUCACAGAGGGUGAGAAUCCCGUACGUGGUCGCCUGCCUUUGCCGUGUAAAGCUCCUUCGACGAGUCGAGUUGUUUGGGAAUGCAGCUCUAAAUGGGAGGUAAAUUUCUUCUAAAGCUAAAUACUGGCCAGAGACCGAUAGCGCACAAGUAGAGUGAUCGAAAGAUGAAAAGUACUUUGGAAAGAGAGUCAAAAAGCACGUGAAAUUGUUGAAAGGGAAGCGCUUGCAGCCAGACUUGCCCGCAGUUGCUCACCUAGGCUUUGGCCUGGGGCACUCUUCUGCGGGCAGGCCAGCAUCAGUUUGGGCGGUUGGAUAAAGGCCUCUGUCACGUAUCUCCCUUCGGGGUGACCUUAUAGGGGAGGCGCAAUGCAACCAGCCCGGACUGAGGUCCGCGCAUCUGCUAGGAUGCUGGCGUAAUGGCUGUAAGCGGCCCGUCUUGAAACACGGACCAAGGAGUCUAACAUCUAUGCGAGUGUUUGGGUGUCAAGCCCGAGCGCGCAAUGAAAGUGAACGGAGGUGGGAACCCUUUGGGUGCACCAUCGACCGAUCCUGAUGUCUUCGGAUGGAUUUGAGUAAGAGCAUAGCUGUUGGGACCCGAAAGAUGGUGAACUAUGCUUGAAUAGGGUGAAGCCAGAGGAAACUCUGGUGGAGGCUCGCAGCGGUUCUGACGUGCAAAUCGAUCGUCAAAUUUGGGCAUAGGGGCGAAAGACUAAUCGAACC
RNAcentral lists this ribosomal RNA (887 nucleotides) under Paraphaeosphaeria sporulosa. Its description in RNAcentral is "LSU rRNA". It matches the Rfam family "Eukaryotic large subunit ribosomal RNA", at positions 37 to 941 of the family's 3401-position model. Lineage: Eukaryota; Fungi; Ascomycota; Dothideomycetes; Pleosporales; Didymosphaeriaceae. The record is from RNAcentral.